RNAcentral lists this ribosomal RNA (560 nucleotides) under uncultured bacterium. Its description in RNAcentral is "bacterial SSU rRNA". It matches the Rfam family "Bacterial small subunit ribosomal RNA", at positions 951 to 1512 of the family's 1533-position model. The record is from RNAcentral.
UCGAUGCAACGCGAAAAACCUUACCUACCCUUGACAUGUCAAGAAUCCCUAAGAGAUUAGGGAGUGCCGCAAGGAACUUGAACACAGGUGCUGCAUGGCUGUCGUCAGCUCGUGUCGUGAGAUGUUGGGUUAAGUCCCGCAACGAGCGCAACCCUUGUCAUUAGUUGCCAUCAUUUAGUUGGGCACUCUAAUGAGACUGCCGGUGACAAACCGGAGGAAGGUGGGGAUGACGUCAAGUCCUCAUGGCCCUUAUGGGUAGGGCUUCACACGUCAUACAAUGGUCGGUACAGAGGGUCGCUAACCCGCGAGGGGGUGCCAAUCUCAGAAAGCCGAUCGUAGUCCGGAUCGUAGUCUGCAACUCGACUACGUGAAGUCGGAAUCGCUAGUAAUCGCGGAUCAGAAUGCCGCGGUGAAUACGUUCCCGGGUCUUGUACACACCGCCCGUCACACCAUGGGAGUGGGUUUCACCAGAAGUAGCUAGCCUAACCGUAAGGGGGGCGGUUACCACGGUGAGAUUCAUGACUGGGGUGAAGUCGUAACAAGGUAGCCGUACCGGAAGG